UGCCGGUGGUCAAACCGGAGGAAGGUGGGGAUGACGUCAAGUCCUCAUGGCCUUUAUGGCCAGGGCUACACACGUACUACAAUGGCCGGUACAAAGGGCAGCGACAUUGCGAGAUGGAGCGAAUCCCGAAAAGCCGGUCUCAGUCCGGAUUGGAGUCUGCAACUCGACUCCAUGAAGUUGGAAUCGCUAGUAAUCGUGGAUCAGCAUGCCACGGUGAAUACGUUCCCGGGCCUU
RNAcentral lists this ribosomal RNA (234 nucleotides) under uncultured Desulfobulbus sp. RNAcentral's name for it is "partial 16S ribosomal RNA". It matches the Rfam family "Bacterial small subunit ribosomal RNA", at positions 1150 to 1382 of the family's 1533-position model. Lineage: Bacteria; Pseudomonadati; Thermodesulfobacteriota; Desulfobulbia; Desulfobulbales; Desulfobulbaceae. The record is from RNAcentral.